UCAUAUGUUUGGCGGCGAGCGAUAGUCUAAUGUUUUUUGUCUGCUGCUUGCACACGUAGACGACGAUGUAAACAGCUAGGCUGGCCGGUUUGUUACAAGCGGAAUAAACGAACUUUUCAAUCAUGGCAUCGGGCGGCGAAGCAAAACUAGAUAUGUACGAUGACUUCAGUGGGUCUGUUGAAGGGGAAAUGAUAGUCCCAAACCAGCAACAAAACCAACAGCAAGGAAAACCUGACUUCAACACUUUAGAUGAACCAAUCAGGGAUACUGUGUUACGUGACCUCAAGGCUGUUGGUAUUAAGUUCUUUCAUGUCCUCUACCCCAAAGAAAAGAAAAGCCUGUUAAAAGAAUGGGAUCUUUGGGGACCAUUACUUCUCUGCACUUUUAUGGCUAUGAUUCUUCAAGGCUCAUCUGAAGUGGCAAAUGAUUCAAAAGAUGGAGGGCCAGAAUUUGCAGAGGUUUUUGUGAUUGUCUGGAUUGGAUCAAUGAUAGUAACAGUGAAUUCAAAGCUCCUUGGGGGAAAUAUGAAUGUGGGGUUUCAUAAAUGGAAACAAUCCUGUAUAGAAAGGCUUUCCAUCAGCAGAUAUUGUAUGCAUGGCUUUACUACCACACUGUCCUCACUUCUUUACCUCGAGAAAGCAGUGUCGUCAGAUCAUUUUUCCAGAGUGUUUGCGUCCUUGGUUAUUGCUUACUUCCUACAACAAUUGCUCUUAUCAUGUGUCGAAUAAUUCUUCUCAUGGAACAAACAACAUUUCUAUUUGCUAUCAGAUUUAUAGUGACAGUUGUAGGAUUUGCCUGGGCAACAUUUGCUUCCAUGGUUUUCCUCGGUGACAGUCAGCCACCGGGAAGAAAAGCUCUUGCAGUGUAUCCAAUGUUCUUGUUUUAUUUCAUUAUAUCAUGGCUUGUGAUUUCCCAUACGACAACAUAAAUGUUAUUUAUAGAUACAAUUGAUCAUGUGAUGAAGGUGCAAACAUUCCAGAUUGAUUUGUAUAUUUUGUACACUAACUGAGAAAACUGAUUAAAUAUGCCAGACUUUUAGGCAUUCAACUUGUCAAUUUAUUCUUCUUGUAAAAAUCAGUCAGUUGUCAGUUUAUUUCUGUGUUACUUGCCAAAAAGGUUUACCUGCAGCGAAAUAGUUGCUUGUUACUCAAAAAUGAAUAAUGUGGCAAUUCAAGCAAGAUCUAGUCUUUGUCCAAUGAAAUUUUAUGCCUUUUUUAUACCUUUUAACUAUAAAUAUUUUCCAGCUCAGUAUAAGUGUAUAGUGACAUAUAUAGUGAAACCUUGACUUUAUUACACAAGGGACUGGCCAGAUAUACGAGGGUUGUCCAGAAAGUAAGUUCCAAUCAGUCGCUAAAUGGAAACCACAGUGAAAAUCAGAAACAUUUUAUUUGCAAGAGUUAGCUACACUUUCCAGAUACUUUUCUACAUAGUCGCCACUCCGACUUGGAAGUUUGGUAUAAUGCUCCAACAAAUGUCUAACACCAUUGUCAUAGAAGGCAGCCAGCCACCUGUGCUUUCCAAUAAAUCUCUACGCUGGUCUAUAGUGGGUAGCCUGCACCCAAAUGUUGUCUUUGUAUUCAACGUUUCAUGUGAACAGAGAUGAUACUCAGGACAAACCAAUGAGGGCUGUGUUGUGGGUGAUCGAACAUUUCCUAUUGAAAAUGCGCAGGAGCGUCUUCACUGCCCCUGCAGAGUAUGGCUGAGAAUUGCUAUGAAGAGGUAUGUCCGUGGCAGUUGUGUUAGGUGGGCUGCCUUCCUUAAGGCGAAGACUCUCAGUGGGCCCUCCUGCUUGGUGGGAGACAUCAUUGUCCUAGGCACCUUUACUCGCUAACAGUGCGCUCUCAACUGAAAAGUGUGUCUUGAUGCGAUCGACCAUCAUACUAGAGACAUAACCCAACACAUCUGUGCAAAGCUUCAUCGGGUUUUCACUGUGGUGUCCAUUUUGACCGAUCGAAUCUUACUGUCUGGACAACCGUCGUAUUAUAACAGAAGAAAGAAAAAUGCUUGUUAAUAGUUAACUUAAGUGCAGGCCAGGAGACAUGAGUGGUGGUAGCCACCUUAUUCAUGUUGGUACAGCAAUCCUGUGUGACACAAGAAAAUAUACAUUCAUUAAUGGAUCAAAAAAAUUACAUAGGUAUCAAGGUUUCACUAUAUUACCUCUCAUUGUCUUAUUAUAUAAUUUAUAUAUGUUAGUGCCAUAAGGAACAAAAUGGUAGUUUUAAGUUGAUGCUGAAUAAAUUAUUUGUUUGAUUCCCAUGUGGAAUCAGGAUGUAAAAGUGAUGCAGUACUUGAGGAUAUUUCUUGCUGAACAUGUAUAAUAGUAAUUUUAGUAACUGUUAACAAUUACACUGUGUUUUAAUGUUUCAUUUACAUUAAAAAAAAUCACAUAUGACUACUGCAUGUAUAUACAUUCACAUUUCACUUUUAUUUCAUAAAUAAACUGAUCACAAACAUA
This is an RNA transcript of Schistocerca cancellata (South American locust), 2455 nucleotides long. It is a transcript of the gene named protein YIPF6, with no coding region annotated. NCBI's taxonomy places the organism in Eukaryota, Metazoa, Arthropoda, Insecta, Orthoptera, Acrididae. The record is from RefSeq and is a predicted model, not a curated record. The transcript has 8 exons.